AAGGGGACUGCGGAGGAUCAUUCACACAUUUCGUCGCACAACGGUUUCCGACCGGCUUCCCAGCCAUAAUUGACAUUAUGGUGGUGGGGCUGUGUGGGGUGCCGGCGGGAAAAUGGACCUCCUGGAACCGAACCCAACCCACCCUUGAAUCCGGUUUUUCCUUCCCCCCCACGGUUUUUUUUCUUUCUGAAAAUUUUAAUAUCAAUGCAUCUCUAGAUUUCUGGCCCCCCCCCAGAAAGGGUAUAUAUAUAUAUAAAUGGCAGGAGAGGUGUGUGGAUAUGCUCGUGAGUGUGUCAUUAUAUCUAUAUAUAUGCUGGCGAAUUGGAUAUUGUAUAGGGCUCAGAUGUUUCUUGCAUAAUAUAAUAUUAUAGACCUGAAAUCAGUCGAGUACCCCGAU
RNAcentral lists this unclassified non-coding RNA (397 nucleotides) under Isospora sp. hs1. RNAcentral describes it as "sequence contains ITS1, 5.8S rRNA gene, ITS2". Lineage: Eukaryota; Apicomplexa; Conoidasida; Eucoccidiorida; Eimeriidae. The record is from RNAcentral.